UUUGUCUUUAUGGCAAUGUGAGAUGCAGUGUAUGGAGUGUCAAAUUUCUAGUAUGASMMMUUAACGAUUUAAGUCCUUCUUAAAUGAGGCCAUUUACCCAUAGAGGGUGCCAGGCCCGUAUAACGCUAAUGAUUACUAGAUGACAUUUCCAAAGAGUCGUGUUGCUUGAUAGUGCAGCACUAAGUGGGUGGUAAACUCCAUCUAAAACUAAAUAUAACCAUGAGACCGAUAGUAAACAAGUACCGUGAGGGAAAGUUGAAAAGAACUCUGAAUAGAGAGUUAAAUAGUACGUGAAACUGCUUAGAGGUUAAGCCCGAUGAACCUGAAUAUCCGUAAUAGAAAAUUCAUCAUUAUGAUUUUAAUAUAUUAUAAUAAUGGUGUGCAUUUUUUCUAUAAAGGACAUUGUAAUCUAUUAAUAUUAAAUAUUUAUCAUAAGAUCUCAGCGUAAGUUUAUUCAAAUUAUUUUGCUUGCAAUUUAAUAUAGAAUAAAUGCAAUUGGAUUUGAUAAAGUAUUGAUAGUUUUAAUAUAGUGCUUAAAUAUUAUUUUAUAAUGGCAUAUUAAUCAUUGAUUUUUAUGUUUAUUAUAUGCACUUAUAUGAUUAACAAUGCGAAAGAUUCAGGAUACCUUCGGGACCCGUCUUGAAACACGGACCAAGGAGUCUAACAUAUAUGCAAGUUAUUGGGUCAAACCUAAUAGCAAAAUUAACAUAACAAAAUGGGAUUAGUUUUUAGGUCUAUUAAUUCAAUCCCGGGGCGUUCUAUACAGUUAUGUAUAAUAAUAUUUAUAUUAUUUAUACCUCUAACUAGAGCGUACCUUGAGCAUAUAUGCUGUGACCCGAAAGAUGGUGAACUAUACUUGAUCAGGUUGAAGUCAGGGGAAACCCUGAUGGAAGACCGAAACAGUUCUGACGUGCAAAUCGAUUGUCAGAAUUGAGUAUAGGGGCGAAAGACCAAUCGAACCAUCUAGUAGCUGGUUCCCUCCGAAGUUUCCCUCAGGAUAGCUGGUGCAUUUAAAAAUAAUGUAAAAUAAUCUUAUCUGGUAAAGCGAAUGAUUAGAGGCCUUAGGGUCGAAACGACCUUAACCUAUUCUCAAACUUUAAAUGGGUAAGAACCUCACCUUUCUUGGUAUGAAGGUCGUGGUUGUGAUAUAAUGUGCCCAGUGGGCCACUUUUGGUAAGCAGAACUGGCGCUGUGGGAUGAACCAAACGUAAGUGUUACGGUGCCCAAAUUAACAACUCAUACAGAUACCAUGAAAGGCGUU
RNAcentral lists this ribosomal RNA (1261 nucleotides) under Acaulona sp. JOS810.2.4. RNAcentral describes it as "partial 28S ribosomal RNA". It matches the Rfam family "Eukaryotic large subunit ribosomal RNA", at positions 123 to 1225 of the family's 3401-position model. The record is from RNAcentral. Lineage: Eukaryota; Metazoa; Arthropoda; Insecta; Diptera; Tachinidae.